AUCUGCUGCUGGUGCCAGUCUACAUGUAUCCCGUAUAGUCGAUAAUGACAUGUCUACCUGUACCCGCUUAUCAGCUCCAGCUAGCUUUACAUUAUCAGAAUGUUAUCGACAUUCAAAUCACCGUAUAUGUGACUUCAGACGAAACUCGUUAGAUAGUAUUAUUACGUAAGACACAUUAAAACUGGUUACCAGUACGUCUGUUAACGAGACCAUUAUACUCCGGUAGGGGAGUAGAUGUGUAGUUCGUGGACACGGAAGGCCUACCAGGAUCUGGCAGCGCCAUUAGUGCGUCAUUGUAUUGUCACCACGGUACCUUUAGCCUUGUUGGACUCAUACGGUUAAUCCAGUGCUUACUGACAUGGAACCAUCGCAAGGUAUUAGCUACUGGAGAUAACCAAAUAUUAAGUUAUUAACAAUACACGGAGCGCGUUAUCAAACGCGGAGAAGCAGGGUCGCGGAACACGCUAAUGUGCUUGCUCACCUGUGACAUUGACAUGGACAAACACGAAACAUGCGCGAGGUAUUCUGGGUCUGACUGGAGUCGGGAACUAGCUAUGGUAGUGUUUCUUGCCGUUCGAGGAUUAACAUAAAGUUGUGUCUGGAAAUUGUUAGUGGGAAUUGUUGGUGUUUGAUGGCACGUAGUAUGUGUCUAUGAUACGGUGAUUAGAUUUGCAAUUGACACUGGGAUAUAGAAAUGCGGAAGAUACUGAAAAAGUGGACUUAGAAUGUGGAUGUACAAAUCAGAUCUCAAUUAUAUUAUCCGGAUUUUAUUCUUUUUGGGCCUUGUGUGUUCCUUUGUACCUGCGACGUUUGGGUCGACUGGAUGUGGGGGGUAUUUGACGAUUUCCGCCGGCAUCACCCGGUCAUUCGGGGUGCCCCCCGGGUACCCUGCUUACUCCCACUGUAUAUGGAUCAUUGUGGCCGAACCGGAUCUCCACGCCAGACUCUCCAUCCUGUCGUUUUCAGGGCAGACAUACGGUGGAGACUGUGUGGACACACUCACGGUGAGGGAUGGGGACAUCGAUCAGGCUGAUCUCCUCGAAACUACUUGUGGUACCGUCAGUAACACCGUUGUCACUUCAUCCGGUAGAUGGCUCUGGGUACAGUUUAAAAGCGAUGGGUCCGACUCGACAUCCUCGGUUUCUCUGUCACUCACGACAGUCACUGCAGGUCAUUCGAUGGAAAAUCUCACAAAUCCUCUUGCAGCGUGUAAAUCGUUCGAGUUUCAAUGCUCUAACCUUGUGUGUUUACCUCGAUCCUACAUUUGUGAUGGGUUUAAUGACUGUGGCUGCAUGGAAAACUGUGACGAAUCGGAUUGUAUCGGUCUGGGUUUUGCACCUCUCACACAGCUCGGCUUCUCGGCUGGGAUCGGGGUGGGAAUGUUUAUCUUCAUCUUCAUCUUUGUGUGGUUGUGGGAGAAACGUCGGCGGCGAAUGGCCAAACAGAAAGAGCGAGAGGACCGUAUGAAGGAGGAAGGGAGAGGGCGACCCUCAAAGAACAAAAAGGACGACAAAAAGGAUAAAAAGGCUAAGGUGGCAUGGCAUAAAUAAUGUCGCUAUUACGUUAUCCUUAGCAAGUUCUCAGGGUCAUGAAGUGUGUACAGUUAAACCGUCCAUUACAUUUUCAGCUCGUCAUUUGUUUCUAUGACAUUCAAAUGCAUUCAACGAAAUCCAUUUUGUUUGUGUCAGUGGCUCUAACUCACGUGCCACGCUUAAGGUAGACUGAACAGUAGAUCCAUGGUCUGGUUUUAAAUAACUAGGACAGACUCUCUGUAGGAAGUUCGUCAAUCUGCUUGCGUUAAGUUGUUAUGUACAUGUUAAGCCAAAACAAAACAUGCAAAGAUUUGCUAUAUCGGACGGUUUUGUAAACAACCUGCAUAAUGAGUCACCUUUUAAGAAAUCACAAACGAUUAACUGUAGCAUGAACACGGUCGUCACUGUUAACACGGUCUAUUGGAGCAGUAUAUGAUAGCUAUGUAUCCUAAUUUAGUUAAUGUUAACACGGUCUACUAGAGUAGUAUAUGAUAGCUAUGUAUCCUGAUUUAGUUAAUGUUAACACGGUGUACUGGAGUAGUAUAUGAUAGCUGUGUAUCCUGAUUUAGUUAAUGUUAACACGGUGUACUGGAGCAGUAUAUGAUAGCUACGUAUCCAGAUUUAGUUAAUGUUAACACGGUCUACUGGAGCAGUAUAUAAUAACUAUGUAUCCUGAUUUAGUUAAUGUUAACACGGUGUACUGGAGCAGUAGAUGAUAGCUAUGUAUCCUGAUUUAGUUAAUGUUAACACGGUGUACUGGAGCAGUAUAUGAUAGCUGUGUAUCCUGAUUUAGUUAAUGUUAACACGGUCUACUGGAGCAGUAUAUAAUAACUAUGUAUCCUGAUUUAGUUAAUGUUAACAUGGUGUACUGGAGCAGUAUAUGAUAGCUAUGUAUCCUGAUUUAGUUAAUGUUAACACGGUCUACUAUAGCUAUGUAUCCUGAUUUAGUUUAAAAGUGUGUCUGGUGUCAGGUCUGAGUUGAUAGUACUAGUACUAUUACUGUGGGAUACUAGUGGAUUAGAAGGGCGGGGGUGGGGUGGGGAGAUGUUCAUUGUAAACCUGUUUCCUAAGUAUUGUAAUGUGAAUCUUGUAAUGGUAAACGUUAUAUUUGUUAUGUGAAUCCUGUAGUGAUAAACAUUAUAUUUGUUAUGUGAAUCCUGUAAUGAUAAACA
Molecule: unclassified non-coding RNA, 2704 nt
Filed under: Mizuhopecten yessoensis (Yesso scallop)
Lineage: Eukaryota; Metazoa; Mollusca; Bivalvia; Pectinida; Pectinidae
Description: membrane frizzled-related protein-like, transcript variant X1
Source: RNAcentral